Pieris napi is the source of this 954-nucleotide RNA transcript. RefSeq lists it as uncharacterized. NCBI's taxonomy places the organism in Eukaryota, Metazoa, Arthropoda, Insecta, Lepidoptera, Pieridae. The record is from RefSeq and is a predicted model, not a curated record. The transcript has 6 exons.
UUUUGUUUGGACAUCUUGUUUUAUCACAUCUUUAGCAAAAUUGUCAGGUAUGAACGAAGAGUCAAGAUUGGUAGGAAACGGAAGUUUCCAAAGAAACGUAAACAGAAGUUACAGAUGAAGGUGUAUAAAUCAGAGAAUAUUCAAGUUGGAUCCCGCAGUAAAAUGUUAUCGCCGUUGAAUGUAAAUGUUAAUGCCGUUGAGGUAGAAGAAGCGCCCACUGGCACUUACAGAGAAAUUACUCCAGAAAUGAUACACGAGGCUCUUAGAAGAUUAACUAUGUGGAGGCAAAAUGUUGAAACGGGUGCAAUAUAUGACUUUAUUCAAAGAAAUUACCCAGUAAAUCAGGAUAAGGAAGCAUUGGCUGUAGAACUUUGGGAAAAACUCGAAGUAGCCGUUUUAGUCGAAUAAUAAUAUAUAAGGAAUACUUGUGCGCACUGUUGAUAUAUCUUCAAAUAUUUAGGAAUCGCAACACAAACAUCAAUCGACACUUGGACUUUAUGUGGUGCCUUGGAACGGCCAAAGUUUAAUGACACACAUGUAACCUUAUUCUGGAAGGUCUACAGGGAUACCAUGUCUCCACUAAAUAAGCCAAAUAAGUUUAUUCAUCGGUACGGAUAUUGAAAGAACUCAAGGGUGAACGUCACAAUUAUUGGAAUUGGAACUUAUGCCGAUUCGAACCAAUUAUCAAAUCAAUCCCGGCAAUUGUAAUAAUAAGUUGUCAUGCUUCUACUAAAGAAUUAAAAAGCGUUGAAUUCGAAUAAUUAUUUGUUUAAUGUAGAAAAAUAUUAAGCGAUUUUUUUUCAGACUAUGGAUACUUCGAAAGAUACAAGUGAGAAGCAAACACUACGUGUUUACGAUGUCGAUGUAUUGUGAUUUUUUAUUUAUUAAACUUUGUAAGGGAACGUGUCCCAUGAAAAAAUGUUUUUCAUAUAUUAAACCAAAAAGCACAAUUAA